GCGACCCCAGGUCAGGCGGNAC
RNAcentral lists this ribosomal RNA (22 nucleotides) under Scaevola plumieri. RNAcentral describes it as "partial 25S ribosomal RNA". The record is from RNAcentral. Lineage: Eukaryota; Viridiplantae; Streptophyta; Magnoliopsida; Asterales; Goodeniaceae.